Molecule: long non-coding RNA, 2054 nt
Organism: Strigops habroptila (Kakapo)
Lineage: Eukaryota; Metazoa; Chordata; Aves; Psittaciformes; Psittacidae
Source: Ensembl
CUGGAGUCCCAGAAACAGCAAACUUCUUAUUGCUGCUCCUCUAGCCCCUUGUCAUAAACUAAAGAGCGACCCUUCAAAUUAAUUCCUCUAUGAAUCCCAAUUGGUUUAACUCAGCGCCACAAGAAUGCUUGUAUUGAGGACCUAAGCCAUUUCAUGGUAUGGGAUGGUAUUUUUCUCAAAGCAGAUAUACAGCACUGCUAUUUCUUCUUCAUGCAGACAAGCAGCAGGUACCAAAUAAAGAACACUUGUUUCCCAUUUUGCAGUUACCCCAAUGGCUGUCACUUUUUGUGACAUGUCUAUCACUUUUUGUGACAAUGUCUAUCGCUUUUUAAAACACAAACUACCCUUUUCCUCCAGAAGCUUCUGGUGUGCAUAGUCUAUCAAAAAUAAUGAAUCUUAAGGACUAAUUACUGUGUCAUUCAUGAAUCUCGUCCUGAGAUUCCCUUAGAGCAAGCUGAGUUUGGAGGUAAGGGGUUCUGGGCGAGGUGUGUGCAUAAUAACCAAGCACUAUGGAUAUUGAAGCCUCGGACGUGCCCUUGUCCUGAGUCCGUCACAGAGAAGUAGGUUCUGAUGCACAGAAUGGUGUUACAACCCAAAGCUCUGUUUUCCCUCUGGAUACAGAAGGUACAGUAGAAUAUUGCCAUUUCAUUCUGUUGCUGCUGUCUUACUUUCAUGAAGAUAGAGUGUAAAUUUAAGCACAAAAUGACUUUUUAGUCCUAGUUGUUUCCAAGUCUUGCACUGUAUUCUCUAACAAAACAAUCCUCCUUUUCUUUAGGUAGCUUUUCCAUUUUACCAAUUUCUACAAUACCCUCUCCCCUUACAGGAUGAAUUAAAGAACAGAAAAUCAUGUACGUUUUUGGCACACUGGAUUUGGGCAAGAGCCUGGAAAUCCCAGAAUUGUCUAUUUCCUGUUUGCAUGCAGUCAAAACAACGGUGUUCAGUUCUUUUCCUAAUCCGAGCCUCAAGCUUGCCUGUUGUCAGGCAAGUAAACUUUUUCCUAACGCUUACAGCUUGAGUUUUCAAAGAAGCCAAAUUUCUGCAGCUUCCACUGACCACCCUGGAGCUGUGAGUCCUGCAGUCAAGAAGUCAGCUUCUUAGCUUUGUCCUCUAAACAAAACCAAAACCCCUGAAUAUGUGGGGUGUUCAUUUUGCUGCACAAUGUAGUCCUUAAAAAUGGAAUGUUUAAGAAAAGUAUGGAAAAUAGUAAGUACCCUGGAAUAAAGGGAAAAACCGGUAGUGCCAGUCACAGCUCUGAGGCUUCUUUAGCUCCCUACUUCAAAUUUGUGGAUCACUGUCUCUACCUCCCAAUCACAUAUUCCCACCCAGUUUUUUACAAGAUUUGAAUGUUGAGUGUCUGGGUUCUGAAAAGUGAGAAUAAUUACAUGCUCCCUGUAAUACCAUCCUUUAAGGUUAAUGGUCUACCCUAUGCUAAUUUACAUCUAAGCAAAGCCCUGCUGGGCUGUCUUUCAUGUCCAUGUUUUUAAGGGGACAAAUAAGAAACAGGCUUCUUGUUACCAGAGCAAUAUGAAAGCGAGCUCUUGAUCCACACUGUAGUUCGGAGAUCUGUUCACCCUGAUAAGACAUCCCUUUCCAACUCCUUGAAUGUUGAGAAACAGUCUUCUGACUCAAGAGUUUGAGUUGCCAUCCAAAGAGGAAAACCGAGCUCUUUUGCAGGUUAUGUGCAUAUAAGUGUAGCAGAAAUGAUAAGCACUAGCUGCUUUGGCUGUCAGCCCCUUCUAACGAACUGCUCUGGAAUUGCCCAGGAAAGUUGGGAACCAUCAAAGUCAAAGGAGACAGCCUGACUUGUUAUGGUGAAUUGUUGCCUUUAAUCCUAAUCGCUUGGUGGAGGUUGGAUUUGAAUUCUGCCUUUAUUCUUGCUUUGUCUAAAAAUGUCAGAUUAUUUUUCCUCCAAAAUAAUGAAAGGGCAAAAGUCUACCUUCUGAUAUGGAAACCUUCUGCCUCUGACCUGGAAUCCUGCAUAUGUACUUUUUACAGAUUAAAAAUAAUAUUGUAUAUAAAAAAAGAUUGAAUAAAGAAUGUCUUUAAGUGAAAAA